This 200-nucleotide ribosomal RNA is filed under the name uncultured Streptococcaceae bacterium. Its description in RNAcentral is "partial 16S ribosomal RNA". It matches the Rfam family "Bacterial small subunit ribosomal RNA", at positions 139 to 334 of the family's 1533-position model. The record is from RNAcentral. Lineage: Bacteria; Bacillati; Bacillota; Bacilli; Lactobacillales; Streptococcaceae.
GGGAGUAACUAUUGGAAACGAUAGCUAAUACCGCAUAACAACAGUUGUUGCAUGACAGCUGUUUAAAAGAUGCAAUUGCAUCACUACCAGAUGGACCUGCGUUGUAUUAGCUAGUUGGUGAGGUAACGGCUCACCAAGGCGACGAUACAUAGCCGACCUGAGAGGGUGAUCGGCCACACUGGGACUGAGACACGGCCCAG